This 475-nucleotide ribosomal RNA is filed under the name uncultured bacterium. RNAcentral describes it as "bacterial SSU rRNA". It matches the Rfam family "Bacterial small subunit ribosomal RNA", at positions 330 to 793 of the family's 1533-position model. The record is from RNAcentral.
CUGUCACUCCUACGGGAGGCAGCAGUGGGGGAAUAUUGCACAAGUGGGCGCAAGCCUGAGUGCAGCCAUGCCGCGUGUGUGAAGAAGGCCUUCGGGUUAGUAAAGCACUUUCAGUCGUGAGGAAGGUGGUAGUGUUAAUAGCACUAUCAUUUGACGUUAGCGACAGAAGAAGCACCGGCUAACUCCGUGCCAGCAGCCGCGGUAAUACGGAGGGUGCGAGCGUUAAUCGGAAUUACUGGGCGUAAAAGCGCAUGCAGGUGGUUGUUAAGUCAGAUGUGAAAGCCCGGGGCUCAACCUCGGAAUAGCAUUUGAAACUGGCAGACUAGAGUACUGUAGAGGGGGUAGAAUUUCAGGUGUAGCGGUGAAAAUGCGUAGAGAUCUGAAGGAAUACCGGUGGCGAAGGCGGCCCCCUGGACAGAUACUGACACUCAGAUGCGAAAGCGUGGGGAGCAAACAGGAUUAGAUACCCUGGUAG